GAUGAACGCUGGCGGCGUGCCUAAUACAUGCAAGUCGAGCGAACGGACGAGGAGCUUGCUUCUCUGAUGUUAGCGGCGGACGGGUGAGUAACACGUGGAUAACCUACCUAUAAGACUGGGAUAACUUCGGGAAACCGGAGCUAAUACCGGAUAAUAUUUUGAACCGCAUGGUUCAAAAGUGAAAGACGGUCUUGCUGUCACUUAUAGAUGGAUCCGCGCUGCAUUAGCUAGUUGGUAAGGUAACGGCUUACCAAGGCAACGAUGCAUAGCCGACCUGAGAGGGUGAUCGGCCACACUGGAGCGGAGACGCGCUCCAGCCCCCGACGGGAGGCAGCGGUGGGAAUUCUUCGGCAAGGGGCGAAAGCCUGACGGAGCAACGCGGCGUGAGUGAUGAAGGUCUUCGGUUCGUAAACCUCUGUUAUUGGGGAAGAACAUAGGUGUAAGUAACGGUGCAGUUCUGAACGGAACCUAAUAAGAAGGCCCCGCCAAACUAGUG
This 496-nucleotide ribosomal RNA is filed under the name uncultured bacterium. RNAcentral describes it as "partial 16S ribosomal RNA". It matches the Rfam family "Bacterial small subunit ribosomal RNA", at positions 28 to 507 of the family's 1533-position model. The record is from RNAcentral.